Molecule: long non-coding RNA, 377 nt
Organism: Episyrphus balteatus (marmalade hoverfly)
Lineage: Eukaryota; Metazoa; Arthropoda; Insecta; Diptera; Syrphidae
Exons: 2
Source: RefSeq, a predicted model, not a curated record
GUGUAGUUAGGAAUAAUCAAAAAAACAAGAAGCAAAUGCCGGAGCAUUAUAUUUUUAUUUGGUUGCUAAUUUUAAUUUUAUAAAUCAUCCUAACUUAGCCAUUAUUCAGCAAUAAAAACUUUUCUAAUAUCAUUCAUUCAUCGGUGAAUGAGAAAAGGUGUAUGUUUCUUCGUUUUCUGGUAAUUCUGGGCCCAUCGUUUAGCAGCAUCCUCAACAACACCAUGCAGUAGGACACAUACGCCGCUGCCGCAGGACCUACUCCAAGGUUGAGUUCGGUCAACUUCGACCCAGGACGACGAUAAAUUCGUGUUUUUAUACUUAUGUAUGUAGAUACAGGUUGGUUGCAAAAUAAAAACAUUUCUCGGGAAUUAUAUGUA